RNAcentral lists this ribosomal RNA (497 nucleotides) under uncultured bacterium. RNAcentral describes it as "partial 16S ribosomal RNA". It matches the Rfam family "Bacterial small subunit ribosomal RNA", at positions 28 to 507 of the family's 1533-position model. The record is from RNAcentral.
GAUGAACGCUGGCGGCGUGCCUAAUACAUGCAAGUCGAGCGAACAGACGAGGAGCUUGCUCCUCUGACGUUAGCGGCGGACGGGUGAGUAACACGUGGAUAACCUACCUAUAAGACUGGGAUAACUUCGGGAAACCGGAGCUAAUACCGGAUAAUAUAUUGAACCGCAUGGUUCAAUAGUGAAAGACGGUUUUGCUGUCACUUAUAGAUGGAUCCGCGCCGCAUUAGCUAGUUGGUAAGGUAACGGCUUACCAAGGCAACGAUGCGUAGCCGACCUGAGAGGGUGAUCGGCCACACUGGAACUGAGACACGGUCCAGACUCCUACGGGAGGCAGCAGUAGGGAAUCUGCGGCAAUGGGCGAAAGCCUGACGGAGCAACGCCGCGUGAGUGAUGAAGGUCUUCGGAUCGUAAAACUCUGUUAUUCGGGAAGAACAAAUGUGUAAGUAACUAUGCACGUCUUGACGGUACCUAAUCAGAAAGCCACGGCUAACUACGUG